UGGGGAAUAUUGCACAAUGGGCGCAAGCCUGAUGCAGCCAUGCCGCGUGUGUGAAGAAGGCCUUCGGGUUGUAAAGCACUUUCAGCGGGGAGGAAGGCGUUAAGGUUAAUAACCUUGGCGAUUGACGUUACCCGCAGAAGAAGCACCGGCUAACUCCGUGCCAGCAGCCGCGGUAAUACGGAGGGUGCAAGCGUUAAUCGGAAUCACUGGGCGUAAAGCGCACGCAGGCGGUCUGUCAAGUCGGAUGUGAAAUCCCAGGGCUCAACCUGGGAACUGCAUUCGAAACUGGCAGGCUAGAGUCUUGUAGAGGGGGGUAGAAUUCCAAGUGUAGCAGUGAAAUGCGUAGAGAUCUGGAGGAAUACCGGUGGCGAAGGCGGCCCCCUGGACAAAGACUGACGCUCAGGUGCGAAAGCGUGGGGAGCAAACAGG
Molecule: ribosomal RNA, 429 nt
Filed under: Chloroflexota bacterium
Lineage: Bacteria; Bacillati; Chloroflexota
Description: Chloroflexi bacterium partial 16S ribosomal RNA
Rfam family: Bacterial small subunit ribosomal RNA
Source: RNAcentral